GGUGACAGUAGCUCAGCGGUAGAGCCCCGGGUUGUGGUCCCGGUUGUCGUGGGUUCAAAUCCCAUCUGUCACCC
RNAcentral lists this transfer RNA (74 nucleotides) under Candidatus Moraniibacteriota bacterium. RNAcentral describes it as "tRNA-His". It matches the Rfam family "tRNA". Rfam says of the family: Transfer RNA (tRNA) molecules are approximately 80 nucleotides in length. Their secondary structure includes four short double-helical elements and three loops (D, anti-codon, and T loops). Lineage: Bacteria; Candidatus Moraniibacteriota. The record is from RNAcentral.